AUUGAACGCUGGCGGCAUGCUUUACACAUGCCAGUCGAACGGCAGCGCGGGCUUCGGCCUGGCGGCGAGUGGCGAACGGGUGAGUAAUACAUCGGAACGUGCCCAGUAGUGGGGGAUAGCUCGGCGAAAGCCGGAUUAAUACCGCAUACGACCUGAGGGUGAAAGCGGGGGAUCUUCGGACCUCGCGCUAUUGGAGCGGCCGAUGGCAGAUUAGCUAGUUGGUGGGGUAAAGGCCUACCAAGGCGACGAUCUGUAGCUGGUCUGAGAGGACGACCAGCCACACUGGGGCUGAGACACGGCCCAGACUCCUACGGGAGGCAGCAGUGGGGAAUUUUGGACAAUGGGCGAAAGCCUGAUCCAGCAAUGCCGCGUGUGUGAUGAAGGCCUUCGGGUUGUAAAGCACUUUUGGCGGGAACGAAAAGGACUGUGCCAAUACCACGGUUCGAUGACGGUACCCGCAGAAUAAGCACCGGCUAACUACGUG
This 484-nucleotide ribosomal RNA is filed under the name uncultured bacterium. Its description in RNAcentral is "partial 16S ribosomal RNA". It matches the Rfam family "Bacterial small subunit ribosomal RNA", at positions 29 to 507 of the family's 1533-position model. The record is from RNAcentral.